UAUUUUAUAGUCAAUUUAUGACUCUAGAUUGCAAAUCUGGGAGAGUAUACAAUUAUACUAAAGUA
This 65-nucleotide transfer RNA is filed under the name Bradysia sp. XQM-2020. RNAcentral's name for it is "tRNA-Cys". The record is from RNAcentral. Lineage: Eukaryota; Metazoa; Arthropoda; Insecta; Diptera; Sciaridae.